GGACGCAACUCUGGAGAGCGCGUAUACAGUUUACGCCACCAAAGGGGAAGGUUCUUAAUCGAACUUAAACUCUCAGGUAAAAGGACAGAGAAGGGUAG
Molecule: non-coding RNA, 98 nt
Filed under: Bacillus sp. (in: firmicutes)
Lineage: Bacteria; Bacillati; Bacillota; Bacilli; Caryophanales; Bacillaceae
Description: Bacillus sp. Glycine sequence
Rfam family: Glycine riboswitch aptamer
About the family: This family represents the bacterial glycine riboswitch. Glycine riboswitches usually consist of two metabolite-binding aptamers domains with similar structures in tandem. The aptamers cooperatively bind glycine to regulate the expression of downstream genes.
Source: RNAcentral